AGUGAACGCUGGCGGUAGGCCUAACACAUGCCAGUCGAACGGCAGCACAGUAAGAGCUUGCUCUUACGGGUGGCGAGUGGCGGACGGGUGAGGAAUACAUCGGAAUCUACUUUUUCGUGGGGGAUAACGUAGGGAAACUUACGCUAAUACCGCAUACGACCUACGGGUGAAAGCAGGGGAUCUUCGGACCUUGCGCGAUUGAAUGAGCCGAUGUCGGAUUAGCUAGUUGGCGGGGUAAAGGCCCACCAAGGCGACGAUCCGUAGCUGGUCUGAGAGGAUGAUCAGCCACACUGGAACUGAGGCACGGUCCAGACUCCUACGGGAGGCAGCAGUGGGGAAUAUUGGACAAUGGGCGCAAGCCUGAUCCAGCCAUACCGCGUGGGUGAAGAAGGCCUUCGGGUUGUAAAGCCCUUUUGUUGGGAAAGAAAAGCAGCAGGUUAAUACCCCGCUGUUCUGACGGUACCCAAAGAAUAAGCACCGGCUAACUUCGUG
RNAcentral lists this ribosomal RNA (492 nucleotides) under uncultured bacterium. Its description in RNAcentral is "partial 16S ribosomal RNA". It matches the Rfam family "Bacterial small subunit ribosomal RNA", at positions 29 to 507 of the family's 1533-position model. The record is from RNAcentral.